UCGGAAGAAGCAUUGUUAAGGAACUCGGCAAAAUGACCCCGUAACUUCGGGAGAAGGGGUGCCCACUUCAGGGUGGGCCGCAGAGAAUAGGCUCAAGCAACUGUUUAGCAAAAACACAGGUCUAUGCGAAACCGUAAGGUGAAGUAUAUGGGCUGACGCCUGCCCGGUGCUGGAAGGUUAAGAGGAGAGGUUAGUCGCAAGAUGAAGCUUUGAAUUUAAGCCCCAGUAAACGGCGGCCGUAACAAUAACGGUCCUAAGGUAGCGAAAUUCCUUGUCGGGUAAGUUCCGACCCGCACGAAAGGCGUAAUGAUUUGAGCACUGUCUCGACAAUGCAUCCGGUGAAAUUGAAGUACCAGUGAAGAUGCUGGUUACCCGCGCCAGGACGGAAAGACCCCAUGGAGCUUUACUCCAGUUUGGUACUGGGAUUCGGUACUGCAUGUACAGGAUAGGUGGGAGACUGAGAAAUUGGAACGCCAGUUUCAAUGGAGUCACUGUUGGGAUACCACCCCUGCAGUAUUGGGUUUCUAACCAGCCGCUGUGAUCCAGCGGUGGGACAAUGCCAGGCGGGGAGUUUGACUGGGGCGGUCGCCUCCGAAAGGGUAUCGGAGGCGCUCAAAGGUUCCCUCAGAAUGGUCGGAAACCAUUUUAAGAGUGCAAAGGCAGAAGGGAGCUUGACUGCGACACCGACGGGUGGAGCAGGUACGAAAGUAGGACUUAGUGAUCCGGUGGCAUAAAGUGGGAUUGCCAUCGCUCAACGGAUAAAAGCUACCCUGGAUAACAGGCUUAUCACUCCCAAGAGUUCACAUCGACGGAGUGGUUUGGCACCUCGAUGUCGGCUCAUCGCAUCCUGGGGCUGUAGCAGGUCCCAAGGGUUGGGCUGUUCGCCCAUUAAAGCGGUACGCGAGCUGGGUUCAGAACGUCGUGAGACAGUUCGGUCCCUAUCCGGCGCGGGCGGAGGAUAUUUGAGAGGGGCUGUCCUUAGUACGAGAGGACCGGGAUGGACGGACCACUGGUGUAUCUGCUGUCGACCAACGGCAUGGCAGAGUAGCCAAGUCCGGAAGGGAUAAACGCUGAAGGCAUCAAAGCGUGAAGCCCCCCUCAAGAUGAGAUAUCCCUCACAUAAGUGAGUAAGAUCCCUUGAAGAGUACAAGGUAGAUAGGGCAGAGGUGGAAGCACGGUAACGUGUGGAGCUGACUGUUACUAAUCGAUCGAGGGCUUGACCAA
RNAcentral lists this ribosomal RNA (1224 nucleotides) under metagenome. Its description in RNAcentral is "bacterial LSU rRNA". It matches the Rfam family "Bacterial large subunit ribosomal RNA", at positions 1689 to 2925 of the family's 2925-position model. The record is from RNAcentral.